GAUGAACGCUGGCGGCGUGCCUAAUACAUGCAAGUCGAGCGAACGGACGAGAAGCUUGCUUCUCUGAAGUUAGCGGCGGACGGGUGAGUAACACGUGGAUAACCUACCUAUAAGACUGGGAUAACUUCGGGAAACCGGAGCUAAUACCGGAUAAUAUUUUGAACCGCAUGGUGCAAAAGUGAAAGACGGUCUUGCUGUCACUUAUAGAUGGAUCCGCGCUGCAUUAGCUAGUUGGUAAGGUAACGGCUUACCAAGGCAACGAUGCAUAGCCGACCUGAGAGGGUGAUCGGCCACACUGGAACUGAGACACGUUCCAGACUCCUACGGGAGGCAGCAGUAGGGAAUCUUCCGCAAUGGGCGAAUGCCUGACGGAGCACCGCCGCGUGAGUGAUGAAGGUCUUCGGAUCGUAAAACUCUGUUAUUAGGGAAGAACAUAUGUGUAAGUAACUGUGCACAUCUUGACGGUACCUAAUCAGAAAGCCACGGCUAACUACGUG
RNAcentral lists this ribosomal RNA (497 nucleotides) under uncultured bacterium. RNAcentral's name for it is "partial 16S ribosomal RNA". It matches the Rfam family "Bacterial small subunit ribosomal RNA", at positions 28 to 507 of the family's 1533-position model. The record is from RNAcentral.